GGCGCUCGGCCCGUCGGCGCCAGCGCCCGCUGCGGCCUCCACAGGAAGUACCCAGCGGCCGGCCUCGCUCCGCGUCCGCGGCUCCAGCGGCUGCCACGUAGGCCAAGCCUUAAAGGGGCCGCGCCGCAGGGCCCGCCCCGGCCGCGCCUUAAAGGGGACGCUCGCGGCCCACCGCACCCAGGCCCCGCCCUCCCCGCCGCGUUCAGGCCCCGCCCUCCCCGCGCGAGGCCCCGCCCCUGAGGGCCGGCCUGCCGAAAGGACGCUGCAGCCGGCGCUGUUCAGGCAGGGAGAGCCCGGGUCGGCAAGCGAGCUCCCGGGGGCUGAUGGGUGUCCCCCGGGUGGGGGAUGGGCGCACACCCGACGCGGACCACACUGCGCAUGCUCAGUCCGGGGUCGGACUGCGGCUCGGGCCAGAGGUGCACCCCAGCGCCUCGCAGAGGGACAGGGAGGCCGAGUCUUCCCCUGAAGACCCUAUGGAAAAGUACCAGGUCCAUGCGCUUCAGCUCCUGCAAACCCUAGAACAUUCAGAAUUCAACAUCUGCAGCCCUCAGGCUCCUAAGACACCCUAUCAGUAGUCCCCAGCUGGGGGAAACUGGGCCUUUUCCAGGGCUUGUGAAAAUGUUUAGGGCCUAAAAAAAUUCACAAAACAAAAGGAAAGUUGGAAAAUAAAGAGAAAUGAAUGUUUCAGUUCAGUUCAGUCGCUCAGUUGUGUCCAGCUCUUUGCAACCCCAU
This 732-nucleotide long non-coding RNA is filed under the name Capra hircus (goat). RNAcentral's name for it is "lncRNA (ENSCHIG00010030515.1)". Lineage: Eukaryota; Metazoa; Chordata; Mammalia; Artiodactyla; Bovidae. The record is from RNAcentral.